GAGCCUGUAAAAUCAGGCACAAAAGCCUUCUUAAGUUGCAAGAGAGGUUAUAGACUACCAUAUAAUCCAGAAUAUAAUUUCGUAAGUUGUGAAGAAGAUGGAACUUGGGAUUACAGCAUAUACAGAUGUACAGCUGAAUGCGGCGUUGCAAGACCUAAAGGUAUAUCGCUUGUCAUUAAAGGGCAAGACGCAGGUCUUCAAGAUUUUCCUUGGCAUGUUGGAAUCUAUCUCAAAGAUUUAAAUGUUUUAAAUAAAUAUGGAAUUUGGUGCGGUGGGAGCAUUGUGACAAACAAACUUGUCAUUACAGCUGCUCACUGUUUUUAUGAGCCUGGAACACUGAACCGUAUAGACAAAUCUCGUUUCACUGUAGUGGCUGGUAAAAUAUAUGAAGAU
This is a long non-coding RNA of Ctenocephalides felis (cat flea), 393 nucleotides long. RefSeq lists it as uncharacterized. The record is from RefSeq and is a predicted model, not a curated record. NCBI's taxonomy places the organism in Eukaryota, Metazoa, Arthropoda, Insecta, Siphonaptera, Pulicidae. The transcript has 3 exons.